Long non-coding RNA from Sapajus apella (tufted capuchin), 2517 nucleotides. RefSeq lists it as uncharacterized. The record is from RefSeq and is a predicted model, not a curated record. NCBI's taxonomy places the organism in Eukaryota, Metazoa, Chordata, Mammalia, Primates, Cebidae. The transcript has 2 exons.
UGAGAUCACGGCAUUGCACUCUGGUCUAGGCAACAAGAAUGAAACUCUAACUCAAAAAAAUAAAUAAAUUUUUAACACUAGCUUUGGUGGGAACUAAUAAAGCAAGAACUCCCUUACCCAUGCUCCCCACAGGAAGGCAUUAAUCUAUUUAUGAGGGCUGUACUUACCGUAACCCAGACACCCCUCUAGGCACUAUCUUCAAACACCAUCACACUGGGGAUUAAAUUUCAGUGUGGGAUUUGGAGAGGACAAAUAUCCAAACCAUAGCAGUCUUAUAGUCUUUAAAUUAGAAUCAUAUGUGGAGUUUCAAAAAGGUAUUCCUAGGCCUCUCUCAGGUUAGAUUUAUGAACACGGAUCAACAACUUGAAUUUUUAAAACAGCAAAGUCUCAUACUAGCUCUACAGAUGAUUCUGAUGCACAAUCUGGGUUAAGAACCACUGUCCUGUAGUCGCGAAGUCGAUAUAUUUUGGUAUUUUCUUUACCUCUUCUCUAAUUAACCAGUCUGAAGGAGUUUGAAUUUUGGGGGUCAUACAUUGUCUAUAAGAGAAACACAUUAACAUGCAUGCACAGAGUCCUUUGUAAUAAUUUGGGAUGAUUGACUAGGUGGCUCCAGGUAGGAGAGUCAGGCUUCAUGCAAGUUAUUCAGUCAUUGCAGUUUUGGAGGACUGACUCUUAACCCCAAUAAGAAAUCACUUGUGCUAUUAUAAAUUUAUAAAGCUAUUGAAAAGAGGUGCCUCCAGUAAAAAAUACAUAUGCCAUAUAUGCACAAAAGCAAUAUCAAUCCCUCAUUUAUUUUUGGAGUUAGACCAAAAAUUAAAAGCAAAUUAUUUAAGAUAAAAUUACCAUUAAGGAGUAUAAUACUUUUCAAGGAACCUUCAUGUCAGCCUUGAUCCCAGACCAAUAGAAUGAAAUAACAGGAAUGUUCAUUUCUUUGCAAAGAGAAAUCCAAAAAUUUGUCCUGUGUGAGAUUUUGCUUUUCCCAUCUUUAUGAAGUAUAUCAGCAGAUACAUAAGAACCUGCAAGAAGCUGCUCAGUUAAGGCUUUUUUUUUUUUUUUUUUUAAAGAGCAAUUGUUAGCAAUGUGGUGCUGAAGUCAAUGAAGGCUUAACUUUGAAGUGUCAGGAAUGAUACUCCCCCUCCCCUUCAUGUUAUUUUUAAGAAUAAGUUUUGUACAUUUCUCCAGGUAUUAAAGUGGAUGUCCACCUUUGCCAGAACCUAAAGGCAGAACCUAAUGGUAAAAUGAAGACAACCUGGUUGGUUCUAACAAUACUCAAAUAUUUUCAUCUAGAGUAAAUAUUUACUGUUGGCUUUGUAUUCCGGGAAUUAGCCCAAGACUAUGCUGCUCAAAUGGGUGCAAAUAGACUCUCAGGUUGCAAUAGCAUAACUAGGGAUAUUUGAAGCAAUAAUUGUUCCAUCUUGGAUUAUCGGUUUUGCUCUUGGAUUUGGUAAAGUUUUUGUUUUUCUACUCAUGCCAGUUGUAUCAAAAUGUUACUAGGUUAAAACAAAUACAAAUAUGUUUAUUCAUUACUGUGUCCCUGUAAUAAUGCCUGGCAUGUAGUAGGCACCUAAUAUUUGUUGAAAGAACGAAUUCUAGAAUAGAGUGCAAAAUUCUAGUGUAUUUCAAGGUAAAGCAUGAGAGUUCAAAGAAAUGUUCUAUUUGCCAUCUACAACUUUGAAUAAUGCUGCUAGAUUCUGCUUUACUUCAUGCACUUUUGCCAGCAGAGGUGGAUGCCUUAGGGGAAAAAAUUGGAUAAAUGCUGAUCUAAGGCAGCAUAUCUACAUGGUUAUGUGAAUAUUUCCCAGUUGGGGUAAAACUAAGAGGAGUGAUCAAUAGCAUCUUAUCAAUUUAAAGGAUGAUUUCACCAAUUGUACUGUCAUACUCCAGAGAUAUAUGUGCCAAGAAGCAGAGAUGCACUCUAGGAUUCCAGAAGAAAGAUGAUUUAGGACAUAAGCAUCAGGCAGCAAAAGUUGGAGGCAUUGUAUAAUUGUGUCAAAAUGAGAGUCACACACAUCAAGAACUGUAGGGACUAAUUCUAGAAAAAGACUCCAGAAGAGAUGACACAUGAAAUGUGAGUUUAUGUAAACAUGUAAAUUUGAGUGGAAUUGGUUUGUUUUCUGUUUAGGAACUGUAUCAGGAUAGCAGAGAUGAAAGAAUGCCGCCUGAAAUGUAUAUUGUUAAAUUUUCAGGCUUCCAUUGGUGAAGUUUCAAGUAACCGUUUGCUUAAGUGACUUGUGUCAGAAGGUGGAUGACAGGGUCAUUUAAAUCGUUGGACAAGGUCAUGAAAGGACUUUUAAAAUUUUAUUGUAAAAAUAGCCAAUGAUGUUUUUAAUUUCACAUCUAAAACUAAUUUGCAUUAUCCUGUGUUAGUGCAUGAAUCUCAACUCAGUUCUCAUUUUUUAGUUCAACUUUUAACAUCUUUAUUUUCAUUGACACCAUGGACAGCACAGUAAAAAAAAUACACACAUUUGCUUUGCAGUUAUUGAUUUGGAAUGAUAACUUUAAAAGAGCCAUCAAAUA